Molecule: RNase P RNA, 418 nt
Filed under: Planctomycetota bacterium
Lineage: Bacteria; Pseudomonadati; Planctomycetota
Description: Planctomycetes bacterium (freshwater metagenome) RNase P RNA component class A
Rfam family: Bacterial RNase P class A
About the family: Ribonuclease P (RNase P) is a ubiquitous endoribonuclease, found in archaea, bacteria and eukarya as well as chloroplasts and mitochondria.
Source: RNAcentral
GCGAGCGGGCGAUGCGGCCGCUCGGUCAUACACGGACCGGGAGGAAAGUCCGAACUCCGCAGGGCACGAUGGUCGCUAACGGCGACCGGCCGCAAGGCCAGGGAAAGUGCAACAGAGAGCAGACCGCCGAUGGCCCGCCGAAGCCCCGGCUCGCCGGGGCGAACGCGGGCUCAGGCAAGGGUGAAACGGUGCGGUAAGAGCGCACCGCCCGCCUGGCGACAGGCGGGGCACGGCAAACCCCAUCGGGAGCAAGGCCAAAUAGGGGGCGACGGAGCGGCCCGCUCCGCUCCCGGCUUCGGCCGGGAUAAGCCCCGGGUUGGCUGCUUUGAGCCGCGCGGCAACUCGCGGCCAAGACAAAUGGCCGCAGCCCCGGCUCCGGCCGGGGCCACAGAAUUCGGCUUACCGCCCGCCCGCCGGA